AGUAAUUGCCUCUGCAUGGAAAGUGACAGCUGGCAUGGGCAGUAUAUGUGGCUCUGGGAAUAACAUAAAAUCAGAAAAAGUUGUUGUGCAACCAAACCUUGCCUUUUAUGAUUGGUUUUACACCUUUCCACAGGUUGUGCCAAAGGUUUACCUGGAUUUUCUAUUGAGCAUUUGUUUCCCAGCCCAAUAUUCAGUAAUAUAAGCGAUCAGUGCACGCAAGAUAUUAGGACUGUGAUCCAUCAUGGAGCAGAGAUCUUUCCAAAACCCCUAUUCUGAUUACAACCAGCAGGCCUCAACAGCCUUCAACUCCACAGGUCAACUGACUUAUGAGUUUGUUCAUUGUCUGAACAAUAAAGUCAAGGAGCUACUACAGGCUAUGGAAAAGGGACUCAAAUCAGCCGACCCUGGAAACUGCACCGUGUACACAGGCUGGGCAGGCAUUGCUCUGUUGUAUUUGCAUUUGUCUGAUGUAUAUGGGGAUUCAUCCCUUCUGCAAAAGGCCCAUGAGUACAUCAGCAAGAGCCUGCGUUGCCUGACAAGACGUCAUGUCACUUUUCUGUGUGGAGAUGCUGGACCUUAUGCAGUCGGAGCAGCUGUGUUUCAGAAGCUUGGGCAUACAAAGGAAGCAGAAGAUUGUGUCAAAAGCCUCCUUCAGCUACAUCCUUCUGUGGUAAGGCCAGACUCUGGACUUCCAGAUGAACUUCUCUAUGGGCGUAUGGGAUACUUGUACUCCCUGCUUUUUGUCAACAAACAGUUUGGAGAGGAGAAGAUCCAUUCUAGCUACAUCCAACAGGUGUGUAGCAUUGUGCUGGAGUCCGGGGAGAAACUGGCAGGGAGAAGGAACCUAAAAUCCCAGAGCCCUUUGAUGUACGAGUGGUACAGAGAGUACUAUGUGGGACCUGCCCAUGGUUUAGCAGGAAUAUACUACUUUCUAUUGCAGCCUGAGUGUAAUGUCAGUUAUGAGAAGCUACAGAACAUUGUCCGGCCCAGUGUGGAAUAUGUCAGCCGUCUCAAGUUCCCAUCUGGCAACUAUCCUCCUUGCAUUGGUGACCGUCGGGACCUGCUUGUACACUGGUGUCAUGGGGCUCCUGGUGUCAUUUACAUGCUUAUUCAGGCCUACAAGCAGUAUCUGGAAGAUGCUCUGUAAUGUGCUGAGGUCGCUUGGCAGUAUGGUUUGCUAAAGAAAGGAUAUGGAUUGUGCCAUGGAGCAGCAGGGAACGCAUACAGCUUCCUAGCACUAUACAACCUGACCAAAGAUGUCAAGUUCCUCCACAGAGCCUGCAAGUUUGCAGAGUGGUGCAUGGAUUAUGGGAUGCAUGGUUGCAGAACUGCAGACACACCUUAUUCACUUUUUGAAGGAAUGGCUGGAACUAUCUAUUUCCUUUCUGAUUUACUGGAGCCCACAAAAGCGAAAUUCCCAUCAUUUGAAAUGUAAAAAUGUUAUUCAGUCGUAUUUCCUUAACUCCAUGCAGUGUCCCCAAACAUUGCCUGGGGUGAGGUGUGCAGGCAGCUGAGUGUGGUAAUGAUGAUUCUCAGUGAUUCUUGAAUUAGUUCAGGAUUUCUGUAUUUAGUGACAGCAACCAGCUUUGUACAUAGCUGUAUAACAAUGCCUUGUGCAUUUAUGUGCUGCCAAGGGAUGUCCAACUUAUGACCCUCCCUGCUUUUUGUGUUUUAUUCCAUUAUCCUGACACCUAAAAUAUACUUCAUGCUGUAGCUCAAGAACAGGACAUGCUUCAGGUAGAAAUGGUGUUUUCUAUACAGAGGGACACAUGCUUUGGAAUUUGUUUGCUGUAUAAAAAAAAUAAUUACAGAUCAAGCGUCUAAGAGCAAAUUGCAGGCAAAGGGUGUGGUCCUUUAGCUAAUAACUGAAGUUGUUCAUGUCAUAACUAGACUGACUGAAAUGCAUAUACAGAUAAUUUUAGGUUUGGAUUUUGUGGCUUCAUUAAGCAGCAUUUACUGAGCUAUGCAGCAGUAUUCUGCCUUUUGAUAAAAGGAUGUUAGUAGGUUUGAAUGCACUACUUUAAUUCCUCUGUAACUCAACAUUUGCUGUUUAGAUGUCAUUCUCAGUCUCAGAAAGAAAAACUGGACAACAGCAUCCCUGAGGCCACACACCCCAACUUGGAUGGCUGUAUUUGAAUUCAAGGCAUUGGUUUAUUACCCAAAAGAGGUAAAGACUGUGGUUUAGCACACCACAACACAUCCCUAAGACUUAGGGGACUUUGUACAUAUUGAAUAAAAAUUGGAAACCGUA
This is an RNA transcript of Xenopus laevis (African clawed frog), 2251 nucleotides long. It is a transcript of the gene named LanC like 1 S homeolog, with no coding region annotated. NCBI's taxonomy places the organism in Eukaryota, Metazoa, Chordata, Amphibia, Anura, Pipidae. The transcript is spliced from 10 exons. The record is from RefSeq and is a predicted model, not a curated record.